RNAcentral lists this transfer RNA (774 nucleotides) under uncultured cyanobacterium. RNAcentral describes it as "partial miscellaneous RNA". The stretch from base 260 to 332 matches the Rfam family "tRNA". The record is from RNAcentral. Lineage: Bacteria; Bacillati; Cyanobacteriota.
CAGGGAGACAAAAACUGAUCUUGAUGUCUGAGUAUUUAACUCUUAGGCCAAGGUCCUGUCACCUUAGGUCGAUCGGUACCUCAAAUUGAUAGCUUGAUUUUUGAAUAUUCAUUAGGAGAGCUUAUGAUUUUAGUUCCUAAACUUUGUCUAGGUCACACCCCGCAAAGGUUACUCCUGGGCCAUUAGCUCAGGUGGUUAGAGCGCACCCCUGAUAAGGGUGAGGUCCCUGGUUCAAGUCCAGGAUGGCCCAUUCGGUGUUGGGGGUUUAGCUCAGUUGGUAGAGCGCCUGCUUUGCAAGCAGGAUGUCAGCGGUUCGAGUCCGCUAACCUCCACUGGUUGACUUUCUUCAACGCCAAAAAGUUGAGGAGCAUUGUGUGAUGUGACUUGGAUUGUUUCCGCUGAGGGAACCUAGCUUCCUUUCAUUCCAGGAAUAAAUUAUUAAUUAAUUUCAUUCAGGUUGAAAGGAUGCUGGGCUCACUUUGAUUUUUAAAAUCUUAGAGAUGUUCAGCAGAACCUUGAAAACUGCAUAGGUGAGUCUGGAAAAGAAUAAAGCAUCUCAUGGAUAAACUAUUCUUUUUCAAAUCCAUCAAUAGCAAUGCUAUUGAUUGAUUAUUAAUUAAGAAUAGUCUUUAAAUUCUUGAGUUAGAGCCGAGAGCUUAUAGCGUCUUUUCUGCUUUUAUUGCAUGAAAAGUUAGAUUGAAUUAUUGUCUUUUAAGAAAAAGGUAAUAGUUCAAGAAUGCGUUUCAACAGCGUUUACCGCUAUAAGAAUUAUAU